UACGGAGGGGGCUAGCGUUGUUCGGAAUUACUGGGCGUAAAGGGCGCGUAGGCGGCGAGCAUAGUCGGAUGUGAAAGCCCCGGGCUUAACCUGGGAUGUGCAUUCGAUACUGGCUUGCUAGAGUUCGGGAGAGGUCAGUGGAAUACCCAGUGUAGAGGUGAAAUUCGUAGAUAUUGGGUGGAACACCAGUGGCGAAGGCGACUGACUGGACCGAUACUGACGCUGAGGCGCGAAAGCGUGGGGAGCAAACAGG
RNAcentral lists this unclassified non-coding RNA (253 nucleotides) under uncultured Alphaproteobacteria bacterium. RNAcentral's name for it is "contains 16S-23S intergenic spacer region". It matches the Rfam family "Bacterial small subunit ribosomal RNA", at positions 524 to 776 of the family's 1533-position model. Lineage: Bacteria; Pseudomonadati; Pseudomonadota; Alphaproteobacteria. The record is from RNAcentral.